UCUAAGGAGCGUGGAGGGCCUCUUCGGAGGUCGUGCCACCAAUCCUAGGUCAGCCCCGCGCCGGAGACGGCGCUGGGAGGCGACUCGAGGGAGGGUCCGCAGCUCUCCGUCACACUCUUGCUAUUCAGUUUCCAGGGACCGAGCCCGCGCCCCGCAGGCGCAGCAGGUUCUUUGAUAGUCAUCGCUGGAGCGUCGGAAUCAGUCAGGCCGGGCCUAUAGCUCAGUUGGUCUAGAGCGCACGCCUGAUAAGCGUGAGGUCGGUGGUUCAAAUCCACCUAGGCCCACCACCUUCCGACUUCCGAGCUUGUUUCGGGGCUGUAGCUCAGUUGGUAGAGCGCCAGCUUUGCAAGCUGGAUGUCGUCGGUUCGACUCCGAUCAGCUCCACAAAGCCUUUUUCUCGGGACUUCGGGUCCUGGGACGGCGCGGCCAGGACGGCGCUCCGAAAGACGGGCUCUCUGACAAUCGAAUACGAUGGGUAAGAAGCAUCGACCAGCGUGGUCUUUGCGAGGCACCGGUGUCCGCCGUCACGGGGACCUGGACCUCGACCUCGACGAAGGUUCCUCGAGCGCGAGCUCGAGCGGCCCGAGUUAUGGGUGACCAAGCUACUAAGGGCAUGUGGUGGAUGCCUUGGCUCUAGGAGGCGACGAAGGACGUGGGUAGCUGCGAUAAGCUACGGGGAGCCGCUAACCAGGCUUUGAUCCGUAGAUUU
This 709-nucleotide unclassified non-coding RNA is filed under the name uncultured delta proteobacterium. RNAcentral describes it as "partial contains 16S ribosomal RNA, 16S-23S ribosomal RNA intergenic spacer, and 23S ribosomal RNA". The stretch from base 596 to 709 matches the Rfam family "Bacterial large subunit ribosomal RNA", at positions 1 to 113 of the family's 2925-position model. Lineage: Bacteria; Deltaproteobacteria. The record is from RNAcentral.